ACGAACGCUGGCGGCAGGCCUAACACAUGCAAGUCGAGCGCGCCCUUCGGGGUGAGCGGCGGACGGGUUAGUAACGCGUGGGAAUAUACCCUUUGGUACGGAAUAGCCUCUGGAAACGGAGAGUAAUACCGUAUGAGCCCUUCGGGGGAAAGAUUUAUCGCCAAAGGAUUAGCCCGCGUUAGAUUAGGUAGUUGGUGGGGUAAUGGCCUACCAAGCCUACGAUCUAUAGCUGGUUUUAGAGGAUGAUCAGCAACACUGGGACUGAGACACGGCCCAGACUCCUACGGGAGGCAGCAGUGGGGAAUCUUGGACAAUGGGGGCAACCCUGAUCCAGCCAUGCCGCGUGAGUGAUGAAGGCCUUAGGGUCGUAAAGCUCUUUCGCCUGUGAAGAUAAUGACGGUAGCAGGUAAAGAAACCCCGGCUAACUCCGUGCCAGCAGCCGCGGUAAUACGGAGGGGGUUAGCGUUGUUCGGAAUUACUGGGCGUAAAGCGCACGUAGGCGGACUGGAAAGUUGGGGGUGAAAUCCCGGGGCUCAACCCCGGAACUGCCUCCAAAACUAUCAGUCUAGAGUUCGAGAGAGGUGAGUGGAAUUCCGAGUGUAGAGGUGAAAUUCGUAGAUAUUCGGAGGAACACCAGUGGCGAAGGCGGCUCACUGGCUCGAUACUGACGCUGAGGUGCGAAAAGUGUGGGGAGCAAACAGGAUUAGAUACCCCUGGUA
Molecule: ribosomal RNA, 719 nt
Filed under: uncultured bacterium
Lineage: Bacteria
Description: bacterial SSU rRNA
Rfam family: Bacterial small subunit ribosomal RNA
Source: RNAcentral